GACGAACGCUGGCGGCGUGCUUGACACAUGCAAGUCGAACAGAAAGGCCUGCUUUCCCUUGUGGAUUGCGGGUACUCGAGUGGCGAACGGGUGAGUAACACGUGAGUGAUCUGCCCCCAACUUGGGUAUAAGCCUGGGAAACUGGGUCUAAUUCCCGAUAGGACUGCAGGGUGGUGCCUGUGGUGGAAAACGAUUUUCUAGUGGUUGGGGAUGAGCUCGCGGCCUAUCAGCUUGUUGGUGGGGUAAUGGCCUACCAAGGCGGCGACGGGUAGCCGGCCUGAGAGGGUGGACGGCCACAUUGGGACUGAGAUACGGCCCAGACUCCUACGGGAGGCAGCAGUGGGGAAUAUUGCACAAUGGGCGGAAGCCUGAUGCAGCGACGCCGCGUGGGGGAUGACGGCCUUCGGGUUGUAAACUCCUUUCGACCGCGAGGAAGCCACCUGGUUGGAAGGGUGGUGACGGUAGUGGUAGAAGAAGCACCGGCUAACUACGUG
This 494-nucleotide ribosomal RNA is filed under the name uncultured bacterium. Its description in RNAcentral is "partial 16S ribosomal RNA". It matches the Rfam family "Bacterial small subunit ribosomal RNA", at positions 28 to 507 of the family's 1533-position model. The record is from RNAcentral.